AGUGAACGCUGGCGGUAGGCCUAACACAUGCAAGUCGAACGGAAGCACAGUAAGAGCUUGCUCUUACGGGUGGCGAGUGGCGGACGGGUGAGGAAUACAUCGGAAUCUACUUUUUCGUGGGGGAUAACGUAGGGAAACUUACGCUAAUACCGCAUACGAUCUACGGGUGAAAGCAGGGGAUCAUCGGACCUUGCGCGAUUGAAUGAGCCGAUGUCGGAUUAGCUAGUUGGCGGGGUAAAGGCCCACCAAGGCAACGAUCCGUAGCUGGUCUGAGAGGAUGAUCAGCCACACUGGAACUGAGACACGGUCCAGACUCCUACGGGAGGCAGCAGUGGGGAAUAUUGGACAAUGGGCGCAAGCCUGAUCCAGCCAUACCGCGUGGGUGAAGAAGGCCUUCGGGUUGUAAAGCCCUUUUGUUGGGAAAGAAAAGCAGCAGGUUAAUACCCCGCUGUUCUGACGGUACCCAAAGAAUAAGCACCGGCUAACUUCGUG
This 492-nucleotide ribosomal RNA is filed under the name uncultured bacterium. RNAcentral's name for it is "partial 16S ribosomal RNA". It matches the Rfam family "Bacterial small subunit ribosomal RNA", at positions 29 to 507 of the family's 1533-position model. The record is from RNAcentral.